Molecule: RNA transcript, 1562 nt
Organism: Odontomachus brunneus
Lineage: Eukaryota; Metazoa; Arthropoda; Insecta; Hymenoptera; Formicidae
Gene: Phb1
Gene name: protein l(2)37Cc
Exons: 6
Source: RefSeq, a predicted model, not a curated record
UUUUGUUCAUUUAUUGUGUCAACUGCAGUAACGACAAAGUUGUCUCCGUCACAAUAUUUUCAACGAUGACCUUGUGCGAGCACGAAUGUAAAAUUCGGCUAACAUCCAACAUGUAUCUCAUCGAGCAACAGUAAUUGGCGAAUGCUUCAGAAAACGUUGAUCGGCAUUUUGCGAGCUUUAGAGUCGUCAAUCACCGCUUUUAAAACCGCCGCGCGAAGCGGUUCCACUCCAGACUACCGUAGCGUCUUCGUCGGCUCCAUUUUCUUCUUAUCACCGGAGCCACGCGUGAACGCUGCACGAGGAGAGAAAACGAUUAUUUCAAUCCUGAAGCCACGAUUCAUUACCUAACACACAUUUAGACAUGGCAGCCCAACUUUUUAAUCGAAUAAGUCAAUUUGGCAUAGGUUUAGCUGUCGCAGGUGGUGUUGUUAACUCUGCGCUAUAUAACGUUGAUGGAGGACACAGAGCUGUUAUAUUCGAUAGAUUUGCUGGUAUAAAAAAUUUUGUGGUUGGAGAAGGAACACACUUUUUUAUUCCUUGGGUGCAAAAGCCAAUUAUCUUUGACAUCCGUUCACGUCCACGAAACGUCCCUGUCAUUACAGGGAGCAAGGAUUUACAAAAUGUAAAUAUUACUCUCCGUAUCCUCUUCAGACCUGUGCCAGAUUCGUUACCUAAGAUAUACACAAUCCUUGGUGUGGAUUACGAUGAAAGGGUAUUGCCAUCUAUCACUACUGAAGUGCUAAAAGCUGUUGUUGCACAAUUUGAUGCUGGUGAAUUAAUUACGCAAAGAGAAGUUGUAUCUCAAAAAGUCAGCGAAGACUUGACUGACAGAGCUUCCCAGUUUGGCCUCAUUCUAGAUGAUAUUUCUAUUACACAUUUGACGUUUGGCAAAGAAUUUACCCAAGCUGUAGAGUUGAAGCAAGUAGCUCAACAAGAUGCAGAGAAGGCUCGUUUCUUGGUAGAAAAGGCCGAGCAACAGAAGAAAGCAGCUAUUAUCAGUGCCGAAGGUGACGCACAGGCUGCGAGUUUAUUAGCAAAGUCUCUCGCUGAGGCGGGAGAAGGUCUCGUCGAGCUCAGGAGAAUCGAAGCCGCGGAGGAUAUUGCGCACAACUUAUCUAAAUCGCGGCAAGUGGCGUACUUACCGUCAGGCCAAAAUGUGCUGCUUAAUUUGCCGCAGUAAGAUAAACAACUGGUACAAUGUGUUUGUUAAUUAUGCAUUUAUGAAGAGUAUGAAGCUGUAAUAGAAUAUAAAAAAGCCAUGAAUCUGCUUCCUUUAAAAAAAAAUGCAUAUGGUCCUAUUCCCUUUAGCUAUUGGUGGUGCUCUUCAACAUUAAAUAAUUGUUUAAUUCUCAGUGCUUGAUAUAUAUCAUUAAUACUAGGUGCAAUAUACUUCUCAAUGAUACUAAAUCAACGACAAGUUUAAUGCAAUGCAAACUGAAUGGGAACAAUAAAUCGAUGCCUUUUAUACAGUUAUAUAUAAGAUCUAUCAGUUUCAUUAUGUACUGACGUCGCGAAAUUACUAUCCACUUCAAACUAAAUCUAUGUUUUGAACGUUUUAUUUA